This 253-nucleotide ribosomal RNA is filed under the name uncultured bacterium. Its description in RNAcentral is "partial 16S ribosomal RNA". It matches the Rfam family "Bacterial small subunit ribosomal RNA", at positions 524 to 776 of the family's 1533-position model. The record is from RNAcentral.
UACGUAGGUGGCAAGCGUUGUCCGGAUUUAUUGGGUUUAAAGGGUGCGUAGGCGGUCUUUUAAGUCAGUGCUGAAAUACUCCAGCUUAACUGGAGGGGUGGCACUGAUACUGGAAGACUUGAGUAUAGUUGAGGUAGGCGGAAUUGACGGUGUAGCGGUGAAAUGCUUAGAUAUCGUCAAGAACACCGAUAGUGAAGACAGCUUACUAAACUAUAACUGACGCUGAGGCACGAAAGUGUGGGGAUCAAACAGG